ACUCCUGGGAGAACUGGGAAGGUGAUGUCCAUCACCUUAACAGACUGUAAAUUCUUGGGAACAGGGCCUGAGUUUUAUUCCCCUCUUGCCCAGCAGCUGUCAAGAUGCCCAACACAGAGCAGUUGCUUAAUAUGCACAUUCUUUGCUGCACAAGCUUUUUCAAAAACUGCUGCUGAGUUUGCACGAUGAAGCUGCUGUGGACUGAAUAUUUGUGUUUUCUCCAAAUUCGCACGAAGCCCUAACCCCCCAUGCGUCUAUAUUUGGAGAUGGGGCCUUUACAGAGAGAUGAAGUCUUGCCAUGUUCCUCAGCCUGAUUUGAAACUCCUGGGCUCAAGUGAAUCUUCUGCCUCGGCCUCCCAAACUGUUGGGAUUACAACCAUGAGCCACCACGUCUGGCCUCACUAUUUUAAGUAUUGGAAUUUUAAAAUAAGUCUUAAAACAAGAUAGGGUAAGCUUUAUAACUUUGUUCUUAUUUGCAGGAUUAUUUUGGUUACUCUAGAGUCUACACGUUUCCAUAUAUAUUUUAAAAUCAGCUUGUCAAUUUCUACAAAUAAAACCUGCUAUGUUUUGAUUGGAAUUUCCUUGUAUCUAUAAAUCAACUUGGAGAGAAC
This 611-nucleotide long non-coding RNA is filed under the name Homo sapiens (human). RNAcentral's name for it is "HSALNT0336196". Lineage: Eukaryota; Metazoa; Chordata; Mammalia; Primates; Hominidae. The record is from RNAcentral.